Molecule: long non-coding RNA, 487 nt
Filed under: Mytilus galloprovincialis (Mediterranean mussel)
Lineage: Eukaryota; Metazoa; Mollusca; Bivalvia; Mytilida; Mytilidae
Source: RNAcentral
GCACAUGUGUGAACAAAACAAAACGUAACUUAACUUGGAGGACUGACUUUCACCUGUACUGUUUUUAUAAACUUACAUAAUUUUUCUAAAAUGAUAAUAUUGUCUGAAUUAAAUAAACUAUCAAAUUUGUAUGUAUUUGGAUUUUUACAGCAAUAUUCAGGUAGAAAUUUCUUUCUCUCUAAAUCUAAAGAUUUACAAGUCAUUAUAUAAUGAUAUUCGUCACCGAUUUCACUUGAAUUGCAUAGAUGACAAAGUCUGUCGUUUCGUGACAAGCCUCGCCAUCUUCCCGUCUCAAUUGGUAAACGGUGACUGCCGCAUCUAAAUUUGCAGUAUACAAAUAAUAAAUUAUUAGGCAAUAUGUUGAGAUAAUUCUCAAAUUUCAGAUUAUUUUUAAAAAUUCUAUAACAUAGACAUUUAUGUAAGGUUUCUAUCUGUGACAAACAUAAUUGUGUGAACUGAUCUUUAAGCUUUUGUUCCACACUUUUUG